This 1001-nucleotide long non-coding RNA is filed under the name Calidris pugnax (ruff). Its description in RNAcentral is "lncRNA (ENSCPUG00000014932.1)". The record is from RNAcentral. Lineage: Eukaryota; Metazoa; Chordata; Aves; Charadriiformes; Scolopacidae.
UUCACUUCUGCAGAGAAUAUGAUUUUCUUUUCAAAUCAAAUUUAUUUAUGCUUUGCAAUGCUGUUGUUUUAAAAUGAGAUAUAUAUAUUUUUAAGAAAUCUAUUUGCAAAUAUCAGUGCUUCAAAUUAUUAAAUGAACCAUUUGGUAAAAAAUCUGCUCCUCUAUUUCACGUUUGUUGAUACUGAGCCAUGCAAGUUUAACUAGUUCUUCACUCUUAUUCUUAGUUCAGUUGUGAUUAGCUGUGUCUGGAGUCCCUCACACUAGGAUGUGGUAAACUUCAGUUUGCAAGUUUUUGUGUAGAAAGAUUUGGACUUGAAUAUGCUUAAUGUCACAGUGGCUAAAUCAAAUUGGAAAUUAAAGUGAGACUUUCUAUGAUGUUAUUCUUUAAAUAAUUGUAUGUUUUGCAUAACAUUUUCUACUUACAUUAAUCAGUAAGUGCAAAUACGAAAUAGAGUUUGAGUCCAGAGAAGGGAAAGAAGGAGCAAUGAGGAGCUAAAAGAGAUUGCUCCUUCAAAAUUAUCUUCUAAAAUCGAUCUCGUCACAGACUGUGAAACACCAUUACUCGUUCUUUUGGCAAGAUCACUGUGGGCAAGCUGAAAACAAACAAAAGCUAUUCAUUUAUCAAAGUCCUUUCUUUCUGCCUAGGUCUUGUUCUUUGACAUAGAUACAAAGUGCCACUUCCUAACACUAGAUGACUGUCCAGCAAGAUUGUUUCCAAAGUUCUAAGGACCAUGUUAAUACAGUAUGUGGUGAUUAAUGCCUACAUGAACCAAACCAGGAAAUUCAAAGACUGACAAUUGGCAAGAAUUGUGAAGCCUCCACUCAUUCUAAUAAAAUCCCCAUUGAAAAGUUAAAAACCAACCAACCAACCAACCAAACCUCUUGCAGAAUUCUUCCUUCCCAGAUAGUGGAAGAAGAACGUGAACAUCUGCAAUCCACCUUCUCCUGGGGAACAGACUGUGCACCGAAGGCUGGAAUCACUGAAUCAAAGCUGAACCAAG